RNAcentral lists this transfer RNA (77 nucleotides) under Pseudomonadota bacterium. RNAcentral describes it as "tRNA-Arg". It matches the Rfam family "tRNA". Rfam says of the family: Transfer RNA (tRNA) molecules are approximately 80 nucleotides in length. Their secondary structure includes four short double-helical elements and three loops (D, anti-codon, and T loops). Lineage: Bacteria; Pseudomonadati; Pseudomonadota. RNAcentral also lists the same sequence under 3 other names. The record is from RNAcentral.
GCGCCAGUAGCUCAGGUGGAUAGAGCAGUGGCCUUCUAAGCCACCGGUCGGGGGUUCGAGUCCCUCCUGGCGUACCA